RNAcentral lists this ribosomal RNA (453 nucleotides) under uncultured bacterium. Its description in RNAcentral is "partial 16S ribosomal RNA". It matches the Rfam family "Bacterial small subunit ribosomal RNA", at positions 28 to 506 of the family's 1533-position model. The record is from RNAcentral.
GAUGAACGCUGACAGAAUGCUUAACACAUGCAAGUCAACUUGAACUUCGGUUUGGGUGGCGGACGGGUGAGUAACGCGUAAAGAACUUGCCUCACAGAUAGGGACAACAUUUGGAAACGAAUGCUAAUACCUGAUAUUAUGAUUAUAUGGCAUCGUAUAAUUAUGAAAGCUAUAUGCGCUGUGAGAGAGCUUUGCGUCCCAUUAGCUAGUUGGAGAGGUAACGGCUCACCAAGGCGAUGAUGGGUAGCCGGCCUGAGAGGGUGAUCGGCCACAAGGGGACGGAGACACGGCCCUUACUCCUACGGGAGGCAGCAGUGGGGAAUAUUGGACAAUGGACCAAGAGUCUGAUCCAGCAAUUCUGUGUGCACGAUGAAGUUUUUCGGAAUGUAAAGUGCUUUCAGUUGGGAAGAAAAAAAUGACGGUACCAACAGAAGAAGUGACGGCUAAAUACGU